GGGAACGUAUUCACCGCGACAUGCUGAUCCGCGAUUACUAGCGAUUCCGACUUCACGCAGUCGAGUUGCAGACUGCGAUCCGGACUACGAUCGGGUUUCUGGGAUUGGCUCCCCCUCGCGGGUUGGCGACCCUCUGUCCCGACCAUUGUAUGACGUGUGAAGCCCUACCCAUAAGGGCCAUGAGGACUUGACGUCAUCCCCACCUUCCUCCGGUUUGUCACCGGCAGUCUCAUUAGAGUGCCCUUUCGUAGCAACUAAUGACAAGGGUUGCGCUCGUUGCGGGACUUAACCCAACAUCUCACGACACGAGCUGACGACAGCCAUGCAGCACCUGUGUUCCGGUUCUCUUGCGAGCACUUCCAAAUCUCUUCGGAAUUCCAGACAUGUCAAGGGUAGGUAA
This 400-nucleotide ribosomal RNA is filed under the name uncultured Alcaligenaceae bacterium. RNAcentral describes it as "partial 16S ribosomal RNA". Lineage: Bacteria; Pseudomonadati; Pseudomonadota; Betaproteobacteria; Burkholderiales; Alcaligenaceae. The record is from RNAcentral.